GACGAACGCUGGCGGCGUGCUUUACACAUGCAAGUCGAACGGGAUCAGCCUUUUGGGGUUGGUUUAGUGGCGAACGGGUGAGUAACACGUGGGUAACCUGCCCUUGGCUUUGGGAUAAGCCCUGGAAACGGGGUCUAAUACCGAAUAUGACCUGUCACUGCAUGGUGGUGGGUGGAAAGAUUUUUUGGUCCGACGGAGUGG
This 201-nucleotide ribosomal RNA is filed under the name uncultured bacterium. Its description in RNAcentral is "partial 16S ribosomal RNA". It matches the Rfam family "Bacterial small subunit ribosomal RNA", at positions 28 to 227 of the family's 1533-position model. The record is from RNAcentral.